UGAACGAGCCAUGAAAGUGUG
This 21-nucleotide non-coding RNA is filed under the name Caenorhabditis elegans. The record is from RNAcentral. Lineage: Eukaryota; Metazoa; Nematoda; Chromadorea; Rhabditida; Rhabditidae.